RNAcentral lists this ribosomal RNA (383 nucleotides) under uncultured eukaryote. Its description in RNAcentral is "partial 18S ribosomal RNA". It matches the Rfam family "Eukaryotic small subunit ribosomal RNA", at positions 592 to 976 of the family's 1831-position model. The record is from RNAcentral.
CAAUAGCGUAUAUUAAAGUUGUUGCAGUUAAAAAGCUCGUAGUUGGAUUUCUGGUGGGAGCGAUCGGUCUGGCGCUUAGCGCGAGUACUUGCAUCGUCUCCGGCCAUCCUUGGGGAAAGUCUGUCUGGCAUUAAGUUGUCGGGCAGAGGAUCCUCAUCGUUUACUGUGAAAAAAUUAGAGUGUUCAAAGCAGGCUUAUGCCGUUGAAUAUAUUAGCAUGGAAUAAUAAGAUAGGACUUUGGUACUAUUUUGUUGGUUUGCGCCCCAAAGUAAUGAUUAAUAGGGACAGUUGGGGGUAUUCGUAUUCCGUUGUCAGAGGUGAAAUUCUUGGAUUUACGGAAGACGAACUACUGCGAAAGCAUUUACCAAGGAUGUUUUCAUUAA